Paramuricea clavata is the source of this 136-nucleotide non-coding RNA. Lineage: Eukaryota; Metazoa; Cnidaria; Anthozoa; Malacalcyonacea; Plexauridae. The record is from the annotation of a GenBank genome assembly.
GCGGAUAAUAUAGCCUUGCGAAGUUUGCAAUUUUCAGUCAUUUACUUAUUACAAACGGGAAACGGUUACCACUUCUUUGCGUAAUCUAAAAUGACUGAAAAUCACAAACUUCGCAAGGCUAUAUUAUCCGCAUUUU